RNAcentral lists this ribosomal RNA (384 nucleotides) under uncultured microorganism. RNAcentral describes it as "bacterial SSU rRNA". It matches the Rfam family "Archaeal small subunit ribosomal RNA", at positions 330 to 714 of the family's 1478-position model. The record is from RNAcentral.
GCGCAGCAGGCGAGAAAACUUCACAAUGUGCGAAAGCACGAUGAGGGAAUCCCAAGUGCUUGCUCGUAAGAGUAAGCUGUUUCUCUGUCUAAAACGCAGAGAGAGUAAGGGCUGGGUAAGACGGGUGCCAGCCGCCGCGGUAAUACCUGCAGCUCGAGUGGUGGCCGCUAUUAUUGGGCCUAAAACGUCCGUAGCCGGUUUAUUAAAUGCCUGGGUAAAUCGGACCGCUUAACGGUUCGAAUUCCGGGUAGACUGAUAAACUUGAGACCGGGAGAAGCUAGAGGUACUCCGUGGGGUAGAGGUGAAAUUCUGUAAUCCUAGGGGGACCACCAGUGGCGAAGGCGUCUAGCUAGAACGGGUCUGACGGUGAGGGACGAAGCCCGU